CGCCUCCUCGCAGGCCGAAUCUCCUCCUCCCACCACGACGAGCGGCUGAUUCCGGAACAUCGGCAACGCCCCAUCGCACGUGGCGCAGUAGGUCACUCCCUUCGUCUCAAGCUCCGUUUCUCCGGGAACAUCCAGAUGACGAUGCCCAGCGCCGGUGGAAAUGAUCAGGGUUUUGGUUUCGAUCGUGCGGUUUCCCGCACGGAUUUUAUGGGCGGGUUUUCCAAAAAUUACCUCGUCGGCCACCACGCCAAACUCCACCUCCAAGGCUAAAUACUCGUAAUCGACCGAUAGCGAACAAGUACCGUGAGGGAAAGGCGAAAAGAACCCCGGGAGGGGAGUGAAAUAGAUCCUGAAACCGCAUGCAUACAAACAGUCGGAGCCUCCUUGAGGGGUGACGGCGUACCUUUUGUAUAAUGGGUCAGCGACUUACGUUUAGUGGCAAGCUUAACCGAAUAGGGGAGGCGCAGGGAAACCGAGUCCGAAUAGGGCGAUCAGUCGCUAGGCGUAGACCCGAAACCAGAUGAUCUAUCCAUGGCCAGGAUGAAGGUAGGGUAACACCUGCUGGAGGUCCGAACCGACUACUGUUGCAAAAGUAGCGGAUGAGCUGUGGAUAGGGGUGAAAGGCUAAACAAAUCUGGAAAUAGCUGGUUCUCCCCGAAAACUAUUUAGGUAGUGCCUCAUGUAUGGCUCCAGGGGGUAGAGCACUGUCAUCAUUGCGGGGGUCAUUGCGAUUUACCGCGUGAUAGCAAACUCCGAAUACCUGGAAGUCUGAGCAUGGGAGACAGUCCUCGGGUGCUAACGUCCGAGGUCGAGAGGGAAACAACCCAGACCGCCAGCUAAGGUCCCCAAGCAUGACUAAGUGGGAAACGAAGUGGGAAGGCUAAAACAGUCAGGAGGUUGGCUUAGAAGCAGCCACCCUUUAAAGAAAGCGUAAUAGCUCACUAGUCGAGUCGUCCUGCGCGGAAGAUGUAACGGGGCUCAAACCACGCGCCGAAGCUGCGGAUACGUGCUUGCACGUAUGGUAGGAGAGCGUUCGGUAAGCCUGUGAAGGUGGCUCGCAAGGGCUGCUGGAGAUAUCCGAAGUGCGAAUGCUGACAUGAGUAGCGAUAAAACGAGUGAAAAGCUCGUUCGCCGAAAGCCCAAGGUUUCCUGCGCAACGUUCAUCGGCGCAGGGUGAGUCGGCCCCUAAGGCGAGGCUGAAAAGCGUAGUCGAUGGGAAAUCGGUCAAUAUUCCGAUACCUUUCUUGAAUGCGAUGGGGGGACGGAGAAGGUUAGGUCAGCCGGGUGUUGGACGUCCCGGUUUAAGCGUGUAGGCGGAUCCCUUAGGCAAAUCCGGGGGGUCAACGCAGAGGCGUGAUGACGAGCAGACUUGUCUGCGAAGUGACUGAUACCAAGCUUCCAGGAAAAGCCUCUAAGCUUCAGUUCAAGAAAGACCGUACCGCAAACCGACACUGGUGCGCGAGAUGAGUAUUCUAAGGCGCUUGAGAGAACUCUGGAGAAGGAACUCGGCAAAUUGACACCGUAACUUCGGAAGAAGGUGUGCCCUGAGUAGGUGAACCGGUACAUGGGGAGCCCAAAGGGGUCGCAGAGAAUCGGUGGCUGCGACUGUUUAUUAAAAACACAGCACUCUGCAAAGAUGAAAGUCGACGUAUAGGGUGUGACGCCUGCCCGGUGCUGGAAGAUUAAAUGAUGGGGUGAGAGCUCUUGAUUGAAGUCCCAGUAAACGGCGGCCGUAACUAUAACGGUCCUAAGGUAGCGAAAUUCCUUGUCGGGUAAGUUCCGACCUGCACGAAUGGCGUAACGAUGGCCACGCUGUCUCCUCCAGAGACUCAGCGAAGUUGAAAUGUUUGUGAUGAUGCAAUCUCCCCGCGGAAAGACGGAAAGACCCCAUGAACCUUUACUGUAGCUUUACAUUGGACUUUGAACAGAUCUGUGUAGGAUAGGUGGGAGGCUUUGAAGUGAGGAUGCUAGUUCUCAUGGAGCCGACGUUGAAAUACCACCCUGGUGUGUUUGAGGUUCUAACCUUGUCCCGUGAUCCGGGAUGGGGACAGUGUAUGGUGGGCAGUUUGACUGGGGCGGUCUCCUCCCAAAGCGUAACGGAGGAGUUCGAAGGUACGCUAGGCACGGUCGGAAAUCGUGCUGAUAGUGCAUAGGCAUAAGCGUGCUUGACUGUGAGACUGACAAGUCGAACAGGUACGAAAGUAGGACUAAGUGAUCCGGUGGUUCUGUAUGGAAGGGCCAUCGCUCAACGGAUAAAAGGUACUCUGGGGAUAACAGGCUGAUACCGCCCAAGAGUUCAUAUCGACGGCGGUGUUUGGCACCUCGAUGUCGGCUCAUCUCAUCCUGGGGCUGUAGCCGGUCCCAAGGGUAUGGCUGUUCGCCAUUUAAAGAGGUACGUGAGCUGGGUUUAAAACGUCGUGAGACAGUUUGGUCCCUAUCUUCCGUGGGCGCUGCAGAUUUGAGGAAGCCUGCUCCUAGUACGAGAGGACC
Molecule: ribosomal RNA, 2490 nt
Filed under: freshwater metagenome
Description: bacterial LSU rRNA
Rfam family: Bacterial large subunit ribosomal RNA
Source: RNAcentral